Molecule: small nucleolar RNA, 204 nt
Organism: Raphanus sativus (radish)
Lineage: Eukaryota; Viridiplantae; Streptophyta; Magnoliopsida; Brassicales; Brassicaceae
Product: small nucleolar RNA snoR125
Exons: 1
Source: RefSeq, a predicted model, not a curated record
GGGCGAUGAUUAUAAAGAGAGAGGAUUGAGUGGGGAGUAUGAACAAAACUCUCAUGGGAUUGGAGAAAAAAUAAACCCUAAUCGAAAUUGAUGGAGAAAAUUAGUUUUUAAUUUUUUUUCCCUUUUUCGAUUGUUAGGUUUAUUUCUUUCUCUAUCUCUUACCCUCGAUGACGGUCCUUCCAAUGUACACUUGAUAUGAGCCCU